Molecule: ribosomal RNA, 253 nt
Filed under: uncultured bacterium
Lineage: Bacteria
Description: partial 16S ribosomal RNA
Rfam family: Bacterial small subunit ribosomal RNA
Source: RNAcentral
UACGAAGGGGGCUAGCGUUGUUCGGAAUUACUGGGCGUAAAGCGCGUGUAGGCGGGUCUUUAAGUCAGGGGUGAAAUCCUGGAGCUCAACUCCAGAACUGCCUUUGAUACUGAAGAUCUUGAGUUCGGGAGAGGUGAGUGGAACUGCGAGUGUAGAGGUGAAAUUCGUAGAUAUUCGCAAGAACACCAGUGGCGAAGGCGGCUCACUGGCCCGAGACUGACGCUGAGGCGCGAAAGCGUGGGGAGCGAACAGG